This 69-nucleotide transfer RNA is filed under the name Anoplotermes group sp. Q TB-2017. RNAcentral describes it as "tRNA-Cys". The record is from RNAcentral. Lineage: Eukaryota; Metazoa; Arthropoda; Insecta; Blattodea; Termitidae.
GGCCUUGUAUUCAUUUUGUGAUUAUAGAAUGCAAUUCUGUAGGGGUAGGUCGAGGACUUAUCAAGGCCU